Coffea arabica (coffee) is the source of this 744-nucleotide non-coding RNA. The record is from RefSeq and is a predicted model, not a curated record. NCBI's taxonomy places the organism in Eukaryota, Viridiplantae, Streptophyta, Magnoliopsida, Gentianales, Rubiaceae.
CAAUGAUGGUAGGAAGCACUUUCCCGCUUAGAUUGGAUUUUGCCACAUGAACAAGGGAGUUAUCCUGUAUAUUAGUUCCAGACCCAACAGUGAUGCUGUUAACAUCUCCUGCAGAUAAAAAGAUGGAUCCAGAUGAAGUUGAUCCAUGUAACAUCAAGGUACAUAAAAGCUUCGAAUGGAAGAGGCGUAUGGCGAUGGUAAAUUCUCAGUCACACCAACAGCAAAGUGGCACAAUGACUUUUCAAGGGUGUUCUAAUAUUUGUCUUGGAUAGUUCAGCUCCUCAUCGACUCCUGAGGCGGCUUGGAACGGUUGCCGCUACUGCGAUAUAUGUCUUGCGGGUUUCUUGCGUUGAAGGAUUCUACACUGUUGAUAUCCUGAAUUUGUUGACUGGACUUCUAUCCCCUAAGGCUGGAAGCUUUAGAUGGUGUUCCGUUGCCAGCUAAUGUCUCCGAUGAAUUUAGGCCUUUUAUUCGGUGUCUUCCUGGAUUCAGAUUCUGGUGAGAGUAGCUCCUCUUUCACAAAUUCACAAGAUCUAGGAAGAAGUUAACAAAGUUUAGCAGAUAACAUAAUCUUGUAAAGGGGUCAGGGAUGCAAAACCGACAUGUCAAAUACAGAAGUGCUGUUAGUUUCUUCUUUGCUGAUCGAUUGUUGAGUUACAGAUUCUUUCCAGUUUGACCUGUACUGCUAUUAAUGGAUAGUACUGUUGUUUAGAACCCGUUCAAUCAACGUCAAUUUUUCGGUUC